CAUCCUUUCUGCCUUUCUACCGGCCCCUGCGGGUGUCAUGGAGGCCGUAGUGGUGGAGGACGAGCAUGGAGGGGAAUGAUGAGCCCUGAGCUUUCUCUUGCAGUGAGUGUGAAGGGUUUUAAAAGGGGCUUUUGGGAUGGUGCACAAUACACGAUGUUGGCUCCAGAAAGUCUAAGGGCUGCAUGUUUGUUUGCCAAGCAAAUCUUAGCAGAGAAGGCGUGAAGAUGCAGUUUCCUCACAUAAUGAUGUAUGUAAGAAUAAAGUAUCACAUCCUCAGAAAGAUGGUGUACGUGUCAGCCAUGUGGUGUGCCUUUCUGAUUAAUAUACCCACUGGUACAACACGGUGGAAAGAACCCAGACCAACUUUACUUGAUGCUGUGGUGUCACUUCCUUCAUGAUGAUGGAGCCUCUUUGGAACCAUGACACUAUGGGACCGAUGUGCAGGGAUUUCUAUUUCUCUGCUGCUUCCCCACGAGGAGAAGGGUUGAGAAUAAGAUUCUAGGGGACUGCAAGUUGUUAACUCAUUAGUAAGGAUCUGCCAGGUGUAACAAUAUGAGUGGCAUGCAGUCCAGCAGUAGAGUAUUUUUAUUACAGGUGCUGGUUUCUGAACAGAAGAGUUUCAAAGUGCUGUCAUUCUAGAGCAGUUUUCCUGCAUGUACAAAAGAAUAUAGCAAACUGUCAGAAAUGACGAGUCUGUGUAAUUUUUUGUGGCCACUAACAGGGCCAAAGCAAAGAUUAAAGAAUUUUCUUACCUUCAA
This is a long non-coding RNA of Varanus komodoensis (Komodo dragon), 758 nucleotides long. RefSeq lists it as uncharacterized. The transcript is spliced from 6 exons. NCBI's taxonomy places the organism in Eukaryota, Metazoa, Chordata, Lepidosauria, Squamata, Varanidae. The record is from RefSeq and is a predicted model, not a curated record.